Molecule: ribosomal RNA, 1317 nt
Filed under: uncultured Alphaproteobacteria bacterium
Lineage: Bacteria; Pseudomonadati; Pseudomonadota; Alphaproteobacteria
Description: uncultured alpha proteobacterium 16S ribosomal RNA
Rfam family: Bacterial small subunit ribosomal RNA
Source: RNAcentral
ACGCUGGCGGCACGCCUAACACAUGCAAGUCGAACGAAGUAGCAAUACUUAGUGGCAGACGGGUGAGUAACAUGUAGGUAUCUGCCCUUUGGCCUGGAAUAACACGAGGAAACUUGUGCUAAUACCGGAUAAGUCUUUACGGAGAAAGCUUUAUGCACCAUUGGAUGAGCCUGCACUUGAUUAGUUUGUUGGUGGGGUAAUGGCCUACCAAGACUGUGAUCAAUAGCUGAUUUGAGAGGAUGAUCAGCCACAUUGGGACUGAGACACGGCCCAAACUCCUACGGGAGGCAGCAGUGGGGAAUCUUGCACAAUGGAGGAAACUCUGAUGCAGCGAUGCCGCGUGAGUGAAGAAGGCCCUUGGGUUGUAAAGCUCUUUCGUCGGGGAAGAAAAUGACUGUACCCGAAUAAGAAGGUCCGGCUAACUUCGUGCCAGCAGCCGCGGUAAUACGAAGGGACCUAGCGUAGUUCGGAAUUACUGGGCUUAAAGAGUUCGUAGGUGGUUGAAAAAGUUAGUGGUGAAAUCCCAGAGCUUAACUCUGGAACUGCCAUUAAAACUUUUCAGCUAGAGUAUGAUAGAGGAAAGCAGAAUUUCUAGUGUAGAGGUGAAAUUCGUAGAUAUUAGAAAGAAUACCAAUUGCGAAGGCAGCUUUCUGGAUCAUUACUGACACUGAGGAACGAAAGCAUGGGUAGCGAAGAGGAUUAGAUACCCUCGUAGUCCAUGCCGUAAACGAUGUGUGUUAGACGUUGGAAAUUUAUUUUCAGUGUCGCAGGGAAACCGAUAAACACACCGCCUGGGGAGUACGACCGCAAGGUUAAAACUCAAAUGAAUUGACGGGGACCCGCACAAGUAGUGGAGCAUGUGGUUUAAUUCGAAGAUACGCGCAGAACCUUACCAACACUUGACAUGUUCGUCGCGACUCUAAGAGAUUAGAGUUUUCGGUUCGGCCGGACGAAACACAGGUGCUGCAUGGCUGUCGUCAGCUCGUGUCGUGAGAUGUUGGGUUAAGUCCCGCAACGAGCGCAACCCUCACUUUUAGUUGCCAUCAUUAAGUUGGGCACUCUGAAAGAACUGCCAGUGAUAAGCUGGAGGAAGGUGGGGAUGACGUCAAGUCCUCAUGGCCCUUACGUGUUGGGCUACACACGUGCUACAAUGGUAUCUACAACAGGAAGCAAGACUGCGAAGUUAAGCAAAUCCCUAAAAGAUACCUCAGUUCGGAUUGCACUCUGCAACUCGAGUGCAUGAAGCUGGAAUUACUAGUAAUCGUGGAUCAGCAUGCCACGGUGAAUGCGUUCCCGGGUCUUGUACUCACCGCCCGU